UGGGGAAUUUUGGACAAUGGGGGAAACCCUGAUCCAGCCAUCCCGCGUGUGCGAUGAAGGCCUUCGGGUUGUAAAGCACUUUUGGCAGGAAAGAAACGUCGCGGGUUAAUACCCCGCGAAACUGACGGUACCUGCAGAAUAAGCACCGGCUAACUACGUGCCAGCAGCCGCGGUAAUACGUAGGGUGCAAGCGUUAAUCGGAAUUACUGGGCGUAAAGCGUGCGCAGGCGGUUCGGAAAGAAAGAUGUGAAAUCCCAGAGCUUAACUUUGGAACUGCAUUUUUAACUACCGGGCUAGAGUGCGUCAGAGGGAGGUGGAAUUCCGCGUGUAGCAGUGAAAUGCGUAGAUAUGCGGAGGAACACCGAUGGCGAAGGCAGCCUCCUGGGAUAACACUGACGCUCAUGCACGAAAGCGUGGGGAGCAAACAGGAUUAGAUACCCUGGUAGUCCACGCCCUAAACGAUGUCAACUAGCUGUUGGGGCCUUCGGGCCUUGGUAGCGCAGCUAACGCGUGAAGUUGACCGCCUGGGGAGUACGGUCGCAAGAUUAAAACUCAAAGGAA
Molecule: ribosomal RNA, 561 nt
Filed under: uncultured bacterium
Lineage: Bacteria
Description: partial 16S ribosomal RNA
Rfam family: Bacterial small subunit ribosomal RNA
Source: RNAcentral